UAUCUUAGAAAGUGGCAUUACGGGUAACCC
Molecule: non-coding RNA, 30 nt
Filed under: Mus musculus (house mouse)
Lineage: Eukaryota; Metazoa; Chordata; Mammalia; Rodentia; Muridae
Source: RNAcentral